UUUCCGUAGGUGAACCUGCCGAAGGAUCAUUAAUGUGUUUGGGCCUCACGGCUCUUCAUUCCGACGCUGUGCGCCUUCGGGCUGCACGCUGAGGGAGCAUAUAUCCACCCCUGUGCACACACACGGUGGCGAGCUGGGUAACGGCUCGCCGCUGAUCUUUACACACGUCUAAAAGUCAUUGUAUGUUUAUUUGAGAUAAAAACACAACUUUCAGCAACGGAUCUCUUGGCUCUC
RNAcentral lists this unclassified non-coding RNA (234 nucleotides) under plant metagenome. RNAcentral describes it as "partial contains small subunit ribosomal RNA, internal transcribed spacer 1, and 5.8S ribosomal RNA". The record is from RNAcentral.